This 878-nucleotide ribosomal RNA is filed under the name Chondrina kobeltoides. RNAcentral describes it as "partial large subunit ribosomal RNA". The stretch from base 334 to 878 matches the Rfam family "Archaeal large subunit ribosomal RNA", at positions 1423 to 2682 of the family's 2987-position model. Lineage: Eukaryota; Metazoa; Mollusca; Gastropoda; Stylommatophora; Chondrinidae. The record is from RNAcentral.
UUAACAAUAAUUAUUUUAUAUGAAAGUACCCGAAAUAAAAAGAUCUAAAAAGUUAUAUGUAUAGCGGGUUAAGUUAAAUAUGUCGCAUAAUAUAAUUUUAAUAACUUUUUAGGGGAGAAAUUCCAACAGUUUUUAUGGUAGCUGGAUUAAGGGGAAAAGUAUUAAGUACUAAAAACAAUUAUAAAGUGAUAAGAUUUUAUAAUUUAAAUAAGAUGUUGUUGUUAACCUUGGGGAUAACCCCCUGAAAGCUUGUUGCAAAUAACAUUUUUUAAGUAUAUCUUUUUUAUUUAUUUACCUUUAAACUUAAAAAAAUUUGUAUUACUAAGUUUAUAAUGUUUAAAUUAGUAACUAUACUUAUAAUUUUUAUUAAGGAACUCGGCAAAUUUUGUAUUCGACUGUUUAUCAAAAACAUAGUCCGUUGUUGUUUAUAAUGGAUAUUGACUGCCCGGUGAUUUUUAUUUAACGGCCGCAGUACCUUGACUGUGCAAAGGUAGCAUAAUAAUUUGGCCUUUAAAUGGGGUCUAGAAUGAAAGGAUUUACGAAUAGCAGCUGUCUCAAACUUUAAUUAAAGAAAACUUAUUUAAAAGGUGCAAAUACCUUUGUAUUUAUAUAAUAGACGAGAAGACCCUUAGAAUUUAAUUUAAAAUAAGAUAUAUGCUUGUUUUGAUUUUGUUGGGGCAACAAAGCAGCAGUAAUUUAAUCUGCUUCUCUAUUAUAGGAAUAAGCCGACUAAUUAGUAUGAACAUAUAAAUUACCUUAGGGAUAACAGCAUAAUUUAAUAAAGAUUGUGACCUCGAUGUUGGAUUAGGGCCCUAGUAAUUUAGCCAAUUACUAUGUUAGUUCUGUUCGAACUGUAACACCUACAUGAUCUGAGUUCA